AUGUCAUGCCCAUGCCUCUCUCUCUUUUCCCUCACCACCACGCACUCGCUUUUGCCCUCCGACAACCGUCUUCUCUGCCGUGACGGCGGAGCAUCCAUCCGCGCCACCGGUGAGGAUGGUGGCAGUGUGUCAUUAAUAAUUCCUUUUACCAGGCAGAGAUUGAAAUGGGUUGAUGAAGGGUAUGAACUUCUUGUAUUUACAGAUGAAUGUAUCAUAUCUAAUGGACAAAUGACCAUAAAACUCCAGAGAGAAUUACUGAAUGCUGAUAUAUUCGUGAUUGUUGCUGUUACAAACAAGGAAUCCGUUGAGUGGAUUAAUAACAACUGCAAAACUAUUGAAAAUGUAAUAUGCCUUGACUCUUCACCAGAUUUGAAAAACAAAUUAGGAGGCUAUGAUGUUCCCAGUGAAGUAAGAGGAAGUAUAUUUGGAAAUUUUUUUGGAAAGUCUCAAUCUGAUAAAGCUAAAGAAUCAUAUGAAGUAGUGCAAACAGUAUCUGAAGCAUGGGAUCGACAUAAUUCUGAUGAUAUAAGGUUCUGUUUGCUGGUACUAAUCAAUGCUUAUAUAAGGCCGGUUCCAGUGUUGAAGAACUUGGGAGCUAAAGGUUUUUCCACCCUAAACUGUAUGUUGAAGAACUGUGGUCGUCAGGUACUUAAUUGCUUGUUGGAUCCCAAUUGUAGGAAAGCUCUUCAAUGCUUGAAUAAGUGUAGUCCUGUUGAUCAAGUUUGUAACUACUGAUGUAUUGCUUCAUAUGAAAGUACAAAUCUAGAAGCCUUUUCACUAUGUGUAUUACUGAAAAACAACUGUCUUGAGUUGAAAGCAGAAAUCCCUGACAAGCCAUAUGUGCCUCCAAUGAUUGAGUUCCAGGGGCAGAACUGAAGUCAUGAAAUGGCAGAAGAUUUGUUUGUUGGAUGGUUGGAGAGUUUCAAAGGGAGCUGGCGUGUUGUAGCAGGGCAGAACCCGGCAUAUGAUCAAUUUCCAUGCCAAUACCAGUUUUUCUAUAGGGGAAAAGCAAAAGGGUCAUUUUGGUAUGAGCCCGUAUUCCAGGUAAAAACAUUGGAAGGCCAAUUGGUCUGGAGUAGGAGGAAAUAUAGGGUCAGAAGAGGUAAGGUACCUGGCACAUUCUAUUUUAGUGUAUUAGAUAACGGAGUUGUUUCAAAUGAGUUUUGGACAAUUGUGGAUGUAUCUGAUAAUCUUAGUUGGGGUUUGUUCUAUUAUCACGGUGCUGCUAGAGUUGCAGGGCAAUCUUAUACUGGGGCAGUACUUGUUAGUCCAGAUGGAGCAUUUCCAAAUGACACAGAGAGGACUAAGAUAGUUGCUGCACUAGACAAAUGUGAAAUUAAAGAGUGGGAAGUAUAUUCUGUUGACAAUUGUUCAUGCAUAGAUCCACCCCUGGGAAGUUUACAUACCAUAGUCCAAAUUGCAGAUCCAAAGUACAUGCCUAUCUGAUUAUUACCAGAAUUAUUAAUAGUCUCAAUCCGGUUACGUUCAGCACGUCUCCAGUAUAUACAUUCAAAGAAAGUUGAUUGGUUCUUUUGUCGAUGUCAAUUUUCGUAUUUGUUGGGGGAUCGAUAACAAGUAAAAUUUUCUCAAGGCUCCAUCAGCGACUUACGAUAGUGUUUUAAAACAAAUUUUAUCUAAAAAAAAUUUUCGUAUUAGUUUAAUUAAUUUAUUCUCUCUCGAAUCUACUGUUGACUGUGGAUUGAGUCAAUUAGAUCAGUAGGUCAAUUCAAUCCUCUUUACACCCCCCCCCCCCCCCCCCAAAUUAUCAUUCGUAUUAACACUUUAUACUAUGCAAUUUCAAUUUUCAAGUGUAACACCUUACAAUAAUAUCGUAUAAGAUAUACUUUCUUGCAAAAAUGCAUAUAUAGUAAUGAUGUAGUUGUCCACAAAAGGAGAAAAAACUGGAAAUUGUGGUCAUCUUAUCCUCUUGAGCUGCCAAAGAAAAAGCUGGUAAAAUUGAUAUAUUUCUCUGCAGCCGUCACAUUGAUACUAAUGCCGUCAUAUUGUCCACUAAUUCCCAUGAAACAUGAAAAA
This is an RNA transcript of Glycine soja, 2034 nucleotides long. It is a transcript of the gene named violaxanthin de-epoxidase, chloroplastic-like, with no coding region annotated. Lineage: Eukaryota; Viridiplantae; Streptophyta; Magnoliopsida; Fabales; Fabaceae. The transcript is spliced from 2 exons. The record is from RefSeq and is a predicted model, not a curated record.